RNAcentral lists this ribosomal RNA (253 nucleotides) under uncultured bacterium. Its description in RNAcentral is "partial 16S ribosomal RNA". It matches the Rfam family "Bacterial small subunit ribosomal RNA", at positions 524 to 776 of the family's 1533-position model. The record is from RNAcentral.
GACAGAGGGGGCAAGCGUUGCUCGGAAUCACUGGGCGUAAAGAGCUCGUAGGCGGUUUGUCGCGUCUGCUGUGAAAACUCGGGGCUUAACCCCGGGCCUGCAGUGGGUACGGGCAGACUAGAGUGCGGUAGGGGAGACUGGAAUUCCUGGUGUAGCGGUGAAAUGCGCAGAUAUCAGGAGGAACACCGGUGGCGAAGGCGGGUCUCUGGGCCGUAACUGACGCUGAGGAGCGAAAGCGUGGGGAGCGAACAGG